AAUCAACGCUGGCGGCGUGCCUCAGACAUGCAAGUCGAACGCGAAAGUCCCCUUCGGGGGACAAGUAGAGUGGCGCACGGGUGAGUAACACGUAGGUAAUCUACCUUCGGAUGGGGAAUAACAACCGGAAACGGUUGCUAAUACCGCAUAAUGCAGCGGCACCUAAUGGUGACAGUUGUUAAAGCGGGGGAUCGAAAGACCCCGCGUCUGAAGAGGAGCCUGCGGCGGAUUAGCUAGUUGGAAGGUAAUGGCUUACCAAGGCGACGAUCCGUAGCCGGCCUGAGAGGGCGGUCGGCCACACUGACACUGACAUACGGGUCAGACUCCUACGGGAGGCAGCAGUCGGGAAUUUUGGGCAAUGGGCGAAAGCCUGACCCAGCAACGCCGCGUGAAGGAUGAAAUCCCUCGGGAUGUAAACUUCGCAAGAACGGGAAGAAUAAGUAGGGGACAA
This 451-nucleotide ribosomal RNA is filed under the name uncultured bacterium. RNAcentral describes it as "bacterial SSU rRNA". It matches the Rfam family "Bacterial small subunit ribosomal RNA", at positions 32 to 463 of the family's 1533-position model. The record is from RNAcentral.